Helianthus annuus (common sunflower) is the source of this 332-nucleotide long non-coding RNA. RefSeq lists it as uncharacterized. NCBI's taxonomy places the organism in Eukaryota, Viridiplantae, Streptophyta, Magnoliopsida, Asterales, Asteraceae. The record is from RefSeq and is a predicted model, not a curated record. The transcript is spliced from 2 exons.
AACCCUAGUCUCAUUUCAAGAUCUUGAAGCUCAGCUCGUUUCAGUGAGAAGGAAAGAGAACAAUAUGGUGUAUUAGAUGCGUGUUGAUGCUUGUGGAUGUAUUUAGAUGAUAUGCGUGCUUCGGGGGGAGUUCUCAUGUUCACUACAACCUCUUCUAUGAUCCAUUUAAACAUGAGGGUCACUUUUGAUGGAGUUAUGUUUUAGUUAUAUAAAUGAUGCUGAGAGUAAAGCCCAAGAAACGAUUGAAUUAUGUUAGGAUAACUCGAGUAUUUGAUGUUUGAAUUUGUAACUCUAAGUGGAAUGUUAUUAUAUAAUUUUGAAAAUUUGAUAAA